Molecule: long non-coding RNA, 617 nt
Filed under: Numida meleagris (helmeted guineafowl)
Lineage: Eukaryota; Metazoa; Chordata; Aves; Galliformes; Numididae
Description: lncRNA (ENSNMEG00000019729.1)
Source: RNAcentral
UGCAAAGACCAAGAUAAUAUGACCUUCACUACUUUGUAGAAGAAUUAAAUCAUAGGAUUGCACUGUGUCGCACAAGUCUUCCAGGUCAUAUUUGUUACGUUAUUUGUUGCAAGUCAUAACAUUGCAAGAAAGCAAACUGUGUAGCACAGAAGUUCAGAGUAUGGAACAAGCUGUGACCCACUUUUCACCAACAGUGCAGACUCAUAGUGAGCAAUGACAGGGUGACUGAGUGUGAAGGAAAGGGGAGAACUGACUCCAGCUCUUCACAGGACAGCCUUUGUCAGACCCAAGCACGCAGGGAGGCAGCAAACUGCAGAGUAUGCGGGCUACUUAAGGGCACCAGGUCUUUCUCUUUUCCUCCUCAAUAUCCUGAGCAGCACCUGAAAGCCUCAUUCAGAACUGAAGCUCUGUUAUCCCAGGCGCUGUAUGAAGCUACACUAAGUUGCUACUCCUGGCUUUUAACACUGAUCCUGCAACAGUUCAGACAUUGUGUUGCUUUCAGCGCAUGGUGAAUCUGUUGGGAGUGAAUCUAUUGUACUCUGCAUCAGCAAAACUUGGCUCAUGCUUCUCUGCAAGAUUGUUCACAAAGUUUUUUUCAAGAUGAAAUAGGGAUUCAG